RNAcentral lists this long non-coding RNA (489 nucleotides) under Solanum tuberosum (potato). RNAcentral's name for it is "long non-coding RNA (STUB_LNC005507)". Lineage: Eukaryota; Viridiplantae; Streptophyta; Magnoliopsida; Solanales; Solanaceae. The record is from RNAcentral.
UUUGCAUGUAAAACUCUCUUCGUCCCUGAUAUGAAUCCAUCGGGACUUCCCCUUAGCAUUUUGUUGGGUUUUAAUCCAACAAAAUACACCGGGAGAAGCUGAUAUACGACUAUACGAGUCAACCUUGUCAAGAAUUGGAAGCUAAUAUACACCGGGAAAAGCUGAUAUACGACUAUAUAAACUGUUAUACAGUGUUAUGUACAACUGAAAAGAGGCCCAAACCAGCAGAAAUUUUUCAAAAGAAGCUGAAAAGGGAAAUAAAAUUGGCCCAAUAUUUUUGGGCAGCAAUAGUUUAGGCCUGAAAGGCCCAAACUCUCGCUCUUUGUCCCCCCUUUCUCAUGAUUAUUGGAUUGUAUUUAGUUAUUUUUGUUUUGAUUAAUUCUAACUUUGAAUACUUAAAAAACUACAUAGGUUUAAAGUGAAGCUUUACCAUGAACUAAUACUUAUUUGAUUUUUUGAAUACUUGUAUAUUAUUCUUUUUAAUAGGGC